Molecule: ribosomal RNA, 403 nt
Filed under: Verrucomicrobiota bacterium
Lineage: Bacteria; Pseudomonadati; Verrucomicrobiota
Description: Verrucomicrobia bacterium partial 16S ribosomal RNA
Rfam family: Bacterial small subunit ribosomal RNA
Source: RNAcentral
UGGGGAAUAUUGCGCAAUGGGGGCAACCCUGACGCAGCAACGCCGCGUGCGGGACGACGGCCUUCGGGUUGUAAACCGCUUUCAGCAGGGAAGAUAGUGACGGUACCUGCACAAGAAGCCCCGGCUAACUACGUGCCAGCAGCCGCGGUAAUACGUAGGGGGCGAGCGUUAUCCGGAUUCAUUGGGCGUAAAGCGCGCGCAGGCGGCUCUUCAAGCGGAACCUCUAACCCCGGGGCUCAACCUCGGGCCGGGUUCCGAACUGGAGGGCUCGAGUGCGGUAGAGGCAGGCGGAAUUCCCGGUGUAGCGGUGGAAUGCGCAGAUAUCGGGAAGAACACCGAUGGCGAAGGCAGCCUGCUGGGCCGGCACUGACGCUGAGGCGUGAAAGCUAGGGGAGCGAACAGG